GUGGGGAAUUUUGGACAAUGGGCGCAAGCCUGAUCCAGCCAUUCCGCGUGCAGGAUGAAGGCCUUCGGGUUGUAAACUGCUUUUGUACGGAACGAAAAGCCUCUGGUUAAUACCCGGGGGUCAUGACGGUACCGUAAGAAUAAGCACCGGCUAACUACGUGCCAGCAGCCGCGGUAAUACGUAGGGUGCGAGCGUUAAUCGGAAUUACUGGGCGUAAAGCGUGCGCAGGCGGUGAUGUAAGACAGGCGUGAAAUCCCCGGGCUCAACCUGGGAAUUGCGCUUGUGACUGCAGUGCUGGAGUGCGGCAGAGGGGGAUGGAAUUCCGCGUGUAGCAGUGAAAUGCGUAGAUAUGCGGAGGAACACCGGUGGCGAAGGCGGCUUGCUGGACAGUAACUGACGUUGAGGCUCGAAAGCGUGGGGAGCAAACAGGAUUAGAUACCCCUGUAGUCC
This 450-nucleotide ribosomal RNA is filed under the name uncultured bacterium. Its description in RNAcentral is "partial 16S ribosomal RNA". It matches the Rfam family "Bacterial small subunit ribosomal RNA", at positions 354 to 796 of the family's 1533-position model. The record is from RNAcentral.